AUCGCUUCUCGGCCUUUUGGCUAAGAUCAAGUGUAGUAUCUGUUCUCAUCAGUUGACUCUACUUGGCUAUUUUUCUAUUUCUGACCAAUACUAUAAUAUCUUUAUUACUCUAGGUCUAAUUAGUCUUGACAUAGAAUAGUGCUGACCACUC
Molecule: small nuclear RNA, 151 nt
Filed under: Panthera leo (lion)
Lineage: Eukaryota; Metazoa; Chordata; Mammalia; Carnivora; Felidae
Description: U2 spliceosomal RNA (ENSPLOG00000008399.1)
Rfam family: U2 spliceosomal RNA
About the family: U2 is a small nuclear RNA (snRNA) component of the spliceosome (involved in pre-mRNA splicing). Complementary binding between U2 snRNA (in an area lying towards the 5' end but 3' to hairpin I) and the branchpoint sequence (BPS) of the intron results the bulging out of an unpaired adenosine, on the BPS, which initiates a nucleophilic attack at the intronic 5' splice site, thus starting the first of two transesterification reactions that mediate splicing.
Source: Rfam by way of RNAcentral